Non-coding RNA from Oryctolagus cuniculus (rabbit), 2617 nucleotides. The record is from RefSeq and is a predicted model, not a curated record. Lineage: Eukaryota; Metazoa; Chordata; Mammalia; Lagomorpha; Leporidae.
GUGUUAAGAUAGCAGCAUGAAAACAUCCUGUGCAUGGUCUCCCGAUAAAACAAUCCGUUUUUGGCGUCUUUUUGGAAGCCCGGGGAGGAUCCUUCCCGUGGCCCUGGGGACCAAGAACGAAAGGGCGUGCUGUGUUGCCUGGGUUGGUCCUGCUGCUUCCGCCAAGACCAAGUCACCCCCUUCCCUUGGCUCCAGGCUGGUGGACACCACCGUGGGCUCUGUCUCCUUAGCCCUCCCUCUGGGCUCGGCGCCUUCUCUCACCCUUUGCACGUGGGGUGAGGUCCACGUUCUUUCUGCGGGCGAUGGAUCUGGCAGGGCCACGUGACGGAGAGGAUGACGCCGACCCAGGUGAGUUGCGCUGUGCUGUGACAGAGAGAUGGGACCUGGAUUUGGACAGCACAAGACGCAGCUCCAGGGCCUCCCUGGGUCUCUUCCACGGCCUGCUUCCCCAGAGCGCCCCUCCCCUGCCUCCCUGGCCCCGCCCCUCCGUCUGCCUGGGCCCGGGUGCUCCUCAGGGGCUCACUCACGAGCCCCACCUGCAGCGGCUCUGGCCUUCUGAAUGGAGUUAGUGAGGCACAGUUCCCACAGCGAUGGGCCCCUGACAGCAGAGGGGUCGUGGGCGAGCCGGUGCGUGCGCGCGUGCGUGUGCGGGACUUCCGGCGAGAGGUAAGCCAGAGGUAAGGCGUGGGGCGCUCAGCAGGGGAUUUGCUGUGAGUAAAAGUCCCCGUCUCGCCCAGGCACAACCAGCCGCUCCCCACACCUGCUGCUUUAAGGUGGGGCCUGCGUCUCCCGCCCUGCACGCAUGCGCAGGGCUCGCAGGGGCACCUGCUGGGCGCCUGGAUACUGUGGUUCUGUGCGGAGGACGUGAUGGCAACGGUGAGAACUGCAGGGUCACCCUGGAUGAGGUGAAAGGACUCAACAUGCUAUUUCACAACCCAGCAAGUCUCCCCAAAGGGAUGGGAGCCACUUACACAUCUUCUGUCCAGCUACAGUGACAUAUGAGAGGUGUCCUGAAGCUGCAGCAUAGCUGAGCAGAAGCAAGGGGACUCCUGAAUCUAUAAAAUGGCGUUACCCCGAGAAUGGUUGCUUUUGAUUCACGCAGAAUCGAAGCGUGCGGGAACAACGACGCUCAUGACCGUCACUGUGAAUCUGCACCAGGAGCCGCAUCCGCCCUGCGGUUUCACUCUUCUGCUUGGUUGCAAGCUUGUCUUACUCGGCAUCAGGCGGUGGAGCCCAGGGCUGAGUUCCCAUACAGACACAAUAUGCCCACAGGUGUUGGGGGUGCAGCUGCUGUCGCCUGCCACGCCCCCCACAUGGCACCCGCAGGCUCCAUGGCCCCCUCACCGCUGUGGCUGAGCCGGGUCUGAGGCCACCACAUGCCCAGGUUCAGGACGGCCACGUGCGUCCUGUCUUAGGGCUCUUGGGGACUGCCCACCUGGCCCACCUGCUCUGUCUGCCUUUGUCUCGGCAGUGCCUUCCUCGAAGCAAUUUUCUCAAUGCCUGAAGACCCUGGGUUUGCUUCCAGUGCACAGAGCUGGUGUCUUCAUGGAGGGUUUUAUGCUCGUGAGCACGUGAUGCUCUCUGCUAAUGGCCUGGGAAAGCAGUAGAAGAUGGCCCAAGUGCCUAGGCCCCUGCACCUGUGUGGGAGACCCGGAAAAAGCUCCUGGCUUCAGAUCAGCACAGCUCCAGCCGUUGCGACAAUCUGGGGAAUGAAUCAGCAGGUGGAAGACGGCUCUCCCUGCCUCUGUCUCUCUGUAACUCUGCCUUUCAAAUAAAUAAAUAAAUCUUUAAAAAUACCCAGAUUUAUUUAAAAAGAAAAAAAAGCUUGUGGAAGUGUGGAUGGAGGAGAUAUGUUCCCUGAGUUUGAGCACUUCAAAAUGCAUGUCCAUUUCGUGAUGUGCCUUUUCCACAGGCCAUGUGCAGACCCAGCGUGCGAAACUCAGGGCCGGCAACACACAGACAAGGGGACAGUUCCCAUCCCCGUGGAUGUGACGGGGAUGUGAGAUUUCCUCACUUUACCCAGAAUGGCAUGCCACUAAAAAUCUGUGCCUUAGAAGAAAAAAAGUGUGCCUUGCUCAUUUCUGGAGUUUUCUGUUGAAUAUUCUCCACCUGGGGCUUACUCCAGGCCACGGAAACCAGGAAACAAAGCUGUGGUUAAGGGGCAGAGCCUGGGACAGCACCUACUUCAAGGACGUGAGCUGGGCUUGAACUUCAUACCUUUCCCUCUGCUUCCAUGUAUGUCCUAACAAAAGUAAUUAAAAAAACCCUAUUAUUUAUUUAUUUGAAAGGCAGGGUGUCAGAGAGAAAGAGAUACAAAAAGAGGAGAGGGGCCGACGCUGUGGCACAGUAGGUUAAUCCUUCGCCUGCAGUACCAGCAUCCCAUAUGGGCGCCGGUUCUAGUCCCGGCUGCUCCUCUUCCAAUCCAGCUCUCUGCUAUGGCCUAGGAAAGCAGUGGAAGAUGGCCCAACUCCUUGGGACCCUGCUCCCACAUGGGAGACUGGAAGGGGCAUCUUGCUUCUGGCUUUGGAUCGGCGCAGCUCUGGCGGUUGCGGCCAUUUGGGGAGUGAACCAACAGACGGAAGACCUCUCUCUCUGUCUCUCUCUCUCACUGUCUGUA